Sinocyclocheilus grahami is the source of this 19011-nucleotide long non-coding RNA. NCBI's taxonomy places the organism in Eukaryota, Metazoa, Chordata, Actinopteri, Cypriniformes, Cyprinidae. The record is from Ensembl.
AUGGAAAAAAAUAGGAAUGAAAGAAAACAACUAGAUAAAGAUAAACAAGAGAUGGAAGAACAGAAACAGCAACUGAAGAAAGAAAGAGAUGAUGUUAACCAAAGCAGAAAAGAUCUGAAUGAAGACCUAAAGAUGAUGACACUUCAGAAACAAGUGAUUGAAGAUGAGAAGAACAAGUUAGAACAGAUGAAGACUGAGCUGCAAAGAGAAGCUGAUGAUAUCCGAAAGCUCAAAGAAGAAACACAAAAUGAGAGACAGAGUUUGGAAAAGAUGGCUGAAGAACUUCAGAAAGAGAGAGAAGAUAUUUUUCAUCUUGAUGAAGAUACAAAGAGAAAACAAGAGAUUCUGGAUGAAAUGAAAGCUGCAAAUGAGUCUUCAAUGGCAGAUCUACAAAGAGAGAAAAACAACCUUGAGCAAAUGAGACUGGACAUCUCUAAACAAACUGAUGAAAUUGAAAAUGAGAAAGAGAAAAUUAAACUCAGAGAAGAUGAACUAGAGCAAUUAAAAGCAGAGAUUCAUAAACAACAAAGUGAAGUGGAAAAGGAAAAGAACAACAUUGAAAGUGAAAGAGCUGCAAUGAUCAGGGAAAAACAGGACAUGAUGACUGAGCUGAGAAAAAAGUAUGAAGAUGUUGAGCUUCAGAUGAAGGAGGUGUUGACUGAAAAGGAAAUGUUGGAAAAGGGUAGACAACUGCUGAAGAGAGACAUGGAAAAUCUGCAACAAAAACUAGUUAAUGUAGACAGAGAUUCGGAGAGUCUGAAACUUGAGAGAGAAGCUUUGGAGAAUGAGAAGGAAAUUAUACAACAGAUCAAAACUGACCUGCAACGAGAAACACAAGAUAUUGAGAAGAUCAGACUAGAAACACAACACGAAAGACAAAAACUGGAGGAAAUGACAGCUCAACUCCAGAAAGAGAGAGAAGAAAUCGACAAUCUCAUUGAGGAGACAAAAAGAAAAGACAUGGUCUUUGAUGAAAUGAACACAGAAAUUGAAGUGAAAACUAAAGCCAUUCAAUCUGAUAGAGACAUGCUUGAGAAGGACAAACAUGAUCUUGAGAAAAUCAAAAGUAAACUUGCUAAAGCCAAGGAGGAUCUUGAAAAAGAAAGAGAAAAGCAAGGAAUCAUACUGGCAGAGAUACAGAAAGAGAGAGCCUCCCUAAAGGAGAUGAAUGAGACCAUCACAAGACAAAUACAUGAUAUUAAUAAAGAUCAAGAGGAAAAAAUGAGACAAAAACAACAUGAACUUGAACAACAGAAAACUGAAAUUCAUAAUCAGAAACAAGAACAAGACAAUGACAGAAACAUUAUAAUAAAAGACAGAAGUCAGCUUGAUCUGAGACAAUCCGAGUUAGACAAACAACAGACAGAAGUGAGUGACAUUAUGGAAAAAAUGAGGAAUGAAAGAAAACAACUAGAUAAAAAUAAACAAGAGAUGGAAGAACAGAAACAGCAAGUGAAGAAAGAAAGAGAUGAUGUUGACCAAAGCAGAAAAGAUCUGAAUGAAGACCUAGAGAUGAUGACACUUCAGAAACAAGUGAUUGAAGAUGAGAAGAACAAGUUAGAACAGAUGAAGAUUGAGCUGCAAAGAGAAGCUGAUGAUAUCCGAAAGCUCAAAGAAGAAACACAAAAUGAGAGACAGAGUUUGGAAAAGAUGGCUGAAGAACAUAAGAAAGAGAGAGAAGAUAUUGUUCAUCUUGAUGAAGAUACAAAGAAAAAUAAUAAAAUCCUGGAUGAAAGGAAAGUUGCAAAUGAGUCUUUAAUGGCAGAUCAACAAAGAGAGAAAAACAACCUUGAGCAAAUGAGACUGAACAUCUCCAAACAAACUGAUGAAAUUGAAAAUGAGAAAGAGAAAAUUAAACUCAGAGAAGAUAAACUAGAGAUACUACAAGCAGAGAUUCAUAAACAACAAAGUGAAGUGGAAAAGGAAAAGAACAACAUUGAAAGUGAAAGAGCUGCAAUGAUCAGGGAAAAACAGGACAUGAUGACUGAGCUGAGAAAAAAGUAUGAAGAUGUUGAGCUUCAGAUGAAGGAGGUGUUGACUGAAAAGGAAAUGUUGGAAAAUGGUAGACAACUGCUGAAGAGAGACAUGGAAAAUCUGCAACAAAAACUAGUUAAUGUAGACAGAGAUUCAGAGAGUCUGAAACUUGAGAGAGAAGCUUUGGAGAAUGAGAAGGAAAUUAUACAACAGAUCAAAACUGACCUGCAACGAGAAACACAAGAUAUUGAGAAGAUCAGACUAGAAACACAACACGAAAGACAAAAACUGGAGGAAAUGACAGCUCAACUCCAGAAAGAGAGGAAAGAAAUCAAUGAUCUCAUUGAGGAAAUUAAAAAGAAGGGAGAUAUUCUUGAUGAAACCUAUACUGAAAUACAAAGAGAACAAGAAGCAAUUGAGAGAGGCAACGACUUGAUUAGAAGGGAACGGUCUGACUUAGAGAAAACCAAAGCUGAGAUGUCUCAAACCAAGGAAGAGCUUGAAAAACAGCUUUCUGAACAAAAAACAAACAUUGAGAUCACACUGGCAGAGAUACAACAAGAUAGAAACAUGCUUGAACAGAUGAGUGAGAAAAUAACUAAAGAAAAAAUGGCACUUAAAGAUGAAAAGCAAGAGUUACGAAUAGAAAAGGAAGAACUUGAAAGAAUGCGGGCAGACAUCGAAAGAAAACAAGGAGAUAUUGAUCACCUGAGGUUUGGCAUAACAGAAGAAAGUCUGCUUGAGAAAUCAGAGGCUGAAAUGGUUCUUCAACAGAGUGACGUGGAUGUAGUGAAAUCUUUAACAGACAAAGAAAUGUCAGAUCCAGAUGGAAAAAGUGUCUUGAUGGAGCAGAUGCUGGAAAUGGACUUAAAAGAUGCAUUAGAAACAGAUGUUGAGAGCCAAAAGUCAGACUUACCUGAAGCUGAGGAUUUACCUCAUAAACAGGAGAUGAUGUUAGAGAAGAAGUUUAUUGAAGAUGAAAAGGACAAACUGGAACAGAUGAGAGCUGAACUGCAAAGUGAAGCCGAACACAUUGAAAUGGAAAAGCAGGAUAUGCAAAAUGAAAGACAGAAGCUAGAAGAAAUGUCAGCUCAACUUCAGGAAGAGAGAAGUAAUCUUGAAAGCCUUAACGAGGAGAUUAAUGUUAAAAAAUGUAAUCAACAAAAGCAAGCAACUGAGUUUGAAAUGGAGAAGACUGAUUUAGAGAAAAUCAAAACAGAAAUUGCUAAAGCCAACAAACUUCUUGCAGAACAGCAAGAAAAGAAUGAAAAGACAAUAAAAGAGAUGCGGACAGAGAGGGACGCUCUUGAAGAAAUGAGGGUGAAAAUAUCAAAACAAGUGGAGACUAUUCAAAAAGCGAAUGAAAGUCUUUCUCGCAGAGAAACUGAACUUGCAAAGCUGCAGGAAAACAUUUUACAACAACAACAUGAAAUGGACGAACUGAAAAACACAAUCAUGAUGGAAAUGAGUCAACUGGACCAGAGACAAACUGACAUUGAUCUAUUACAGCGAGAGGUUGACGAUCUAAUGGAAUUCACAAAGACAGAAAUGACAAACGUAGAAAGAGAAAGAGUGGAAAUGAUGGCACAGAAGAGAAAUAUAGAGAGAGAGAUAGUCAGUCUAGAGGAAGAAAAGGAUACAUGUGAACAACUGAGACUAAAAUUACUGGAGGAAAACGAUCAGGUUGAAAAAGACAGAGAGCUGUUGACCAAAAAUGUUGAUCUUAUGGAGAGGCAAAAAGUGGAUCUGGAGAAAGAAUUAAAUAAUCUAAAAGUUGAGAAACACACAUUUGAAAAUGAGAAGGAGGAACUAGAGAGGAUGAAAACCGACCUUCAAAAACAAGCUGAAGACUUGGAGAAACUAUCUGAGAAGACAAACAAUGAAAGACGGAGGGCAGAAGAGAUGGCAGCCAAAUUUAAAAAGCAAUUAGACGUCAGUGGCAUUCCAGCGGACUACCAACAGGCGGAAGAGCUCAUGGAUGAGACAGAGAAGCAAAGAAAGGAAAUUCAGUCUGCCAAAGACUUGCUUCAAGAAGAAAGAUCUGAGCUGGAGAAAACCAAGGCAGACAUAAACCAAGCCAAGGAAGAACUAGAUAGACAAAAAACUGACUUGCAGAGAGAUAAAGACAUUCUCAAGCAAAGGAGUACAAAUAACUUGAGACAAAUAGCUCAAAUUGAAGAUAAGAAGGAAAAAAUACAACACAAAGAGAAUGAACUAGAACAAAUGAGAACAGAACUUCAAAAUAAACAAAAAGAAAUGGAUGACAUGAAAAACAAAAUAAAAGAAAAGGCUGAUUUUGAGAAUCUGGAACAAAAGAGAGCUGAGUUGGCUAGAGACUUGGAAAACCUCCAAAAUGAGAAACAAGCUUAUAAAAAUGAGCAAGACGAGCUAGAAAAGAAGAGAGAUGAUAUUAAAAAGUUGAAGCUAGAAGUUCAGAAAGAAAGGCAGAGGGCUGCACAAGAGUUAGAAAAAGAGAGGCAACAAUUUGCUAAGGAUGACACCCUGGAUGAAAUACAAGCUGAGAUAGAAAGACAAAAACUAGCCAUUGCUGUAGACAAAGCGAUUGUUAUUAAGGAAAAUAUGGAUCUGGAAAAAACCAAGGAACAUUUCAAAAGACAAUCCGAGGAGAGUGACAUCACUCGUGCAAACCUGCAGAAAGAGAGAGAGAGUCUUGAUCAGAUGAGAGUGGAGAUCUUAAAGCAAAAACAUGACAUGGAGAGAGAAAGAGGUGAACUGUUAGAGCAGUGUCAGCUGAUGGAGACACUAAAGAAGGACACUGAAAAUGUGGAACAGCUGAGGAAAGAGCUUUUGAAUGAAAAUGAAUUGACUGAGAAAAGCAGAACGCAACUGAAACGAGACAUAGAUGAUAUGGAACAAAAUAAAUCAAAUCUGCAUAAAGAAUUAGAGGAGUUAAAAGUUCAAAAACAGGAUAUUCAAGAUGAAAGAGUUCAACUAGAGCGAAUGAAAGCCGAGUUAGCAAAAGAAAGAAAAGCAAAUGACAAAAUGUUGAGAGAGGCUAAACAAGAAAUGGAGAAAUAUGAGGAGAUCAAAACAAAUAUUCUAAUCCAAAAAGAAGAGUUUGAGACUAAAAGACAAUCAGAAGUAGAGGAACUUAUUGGUAUGAGAGCAGAAAUACUCAGUCAGAAAGAGGAAUUAGAGGACAAGAUGAAAAAGACUAAACGUGAGAUGAAAGAAUUGAAGCUUCUUCAGGAUGAAACUGAUAGCAAGAGGAAAGAUCUUGAUGAUAAGAUGAGACAGGCAGCGAGAAAGAGAGAUGAGCUGGAGAAAAUGAGAGCUGAUAUUGAAAGUGCAAAUGAGAAACUUGAAAUGGACAGAGUCAUGUUAAGUAUAGAGCGUGAUGACAUGGAUCAAAUGAAAGCUGAGAAACAACGAGCGGGAGAAGAACUACAAUCUCAUACGGAAGAAAGAGGUGGAGAUCUGGAAGAGAAAGAACAAAUAAACACCAAGAUACAGAGGCUUAUUCAAGAGGCUGAAAAGACUAGGGAAAUGGCCUGGAGAACAAAACAUGACCUGGAAAGAAGCAUGCAGAGAGAUGUUAAUGUUCAAGCGGAUUCAGAGGAAAGGCAAAAAAUUAGUGCUUACAUGCAGAGGCUGAUCCAGGAAAUUGAGCAUGUCAGAGAGGUUCUCAGAAGAAUGAAAGAUGAAGUCAAGGCUGCUAGAAAUGAAAGAUUUGAACUGGAGAACAUGAGACUGGAAGUCGAAGCCAUGAAACAGGGCAUGAAGGAAACCUAUGAGCAACAGAACAAGGAGAUACAAAAAAAGAAGCAGCAAAUUGAGAGUACCAAAGACUUGUUGAGCAAAGAGCGAAAUGAUCUUGAGCAAAAUAGAGCUGAUUUGGAGAGACAAAAACAAGAAAUGGCAUUGGACAAUCAAAAACUUAAUGACGAAAAUGAACUGCUGAAGAAAGAAAAUGUUGACAUGAAGAAACAAUAUGAAAUUCUCAAAAACCUUCUAGAAGAAACAACUAGAGAAAGCACAGUACAAACAGUUAAACCUUCCAGAAAAAAGAAAGUAAUGAGGAGAGAUUCAGAGGAAUUAAGGGAGAAAAUGGAAUCAUUGGACGACCAGCAAGAAGAGAGUAAGAGUCAGACAGAUGACAUUAACAGACAAAUAGACAAACUGACAGAGUUGAAGGCUGAGCUGGAUCAACAGCAGGUAGAACUUCAGAAAACUAAAGCAGACUUAAAACAUCAGAUGGAUGAGCUAGAAAACAUGAGGUUUGAGAUAUUACAGCAUGAAAAGGACACGAGAGAGUUGGAGCUGAUGGAUAUACAGAGCCAGAGAAAAGUCAUAGAAACAAGGAUUCAGAAAAUGACGCAUGAGAAGGGAGAACUGGAAGUCUUAAGGUCUGAAAUAGUCCUAGAAAAGAAAGAUCUGGACCAGAUGAUGAAACAAGUGAUACGAAAGAGGGAUGAGGUGGAGAAAAUGAAGACUGAGAUAGCAAAGGCGAGAGAGGAGAUCAACAGAGAGCGGCAGGAGCUGGAAAUACUCAGGAAUGAUGUUCAAAGUGCAAGAGAGGAUAUAGAGCUAUUGGUGGAGAAAACUGUGAAUCUAGAAGAUGACGAAAGUACCAAUGCUGACAUCCAAAGACUAAUUUUAGAGGUUGUGAAAAUCAGGGAAAUGGUGAGAAAUCUAAAAGUUGACAUGGAGAGCAGGAUGGAGGAAGGUAAGGUGGUGAGAGAUGAAAAGGAAAACUUCAAGUCUGAGAUCCAGAGGCUCAUUCAAGAUAUUGGACAAAUACGGGAAAAUCUUGGAAGCCUUAGAAAAGAGAUAGAAACCACCAGAAGAGACAAGAAUGAAUUGGAGAAGAUGAGAGCAGAGCUUGCAGAAAAGCAACACGAGGAAGAGAGCAUGAAAGAAAUGCUACAGAAAGAAAGAGAAGAACUGGAGCAGCGGAAGGAUGAGAUAAACAGAGAAAAUGAGGAUGUGGAGACCAAAAGAGAGCUGGUUAAGGUAGAAAUAACUAAAGAAAUAACGGAAGAGUUUAAGGACACAAGAAAGAACAAGGAAGAACUGCAAAAUGUUUUUGAGGAACUAUUGAGAAACAAGAGUGAUCUGGAACAGCUCAACAGAGAUAUACAAAGCCUAUGGCAAACCAUGGAAGAAAUGAAAACCCUGCAUGAAAAGAAAAGGGCUGAACUGGAAGGCAUUACUUCUGAAGUAAAGAGAGGAGAGCAGAUACUGGAGAAGCAGAAACAUGAGUUGGAAGAGAAAAGUUGGAUUGUUGAAGAAAUAGAGAAAAAGAAAGAUACACUUGAAAAGAUCAAUAUGGAAAUACUGAGGAAGCAAAAAGAUAUAGAAAAAGAAAUGAACAAUUUAAGGCAAGAGAAGCAAGAGCUGGAGCUCUCUAGAAGUGAACUACAGAGACAGAUAAUUAAUGUUGAAUCUUCAAAACAUGCUUUGAUUAUGGAGAAGGAUCGGUUAGAAGAUGAACAAGCUGAAAUCAAUCACCAGAGGCAUGAAGUGAGUGCUGCCAUGAAGGCUUAUGAUGUGGAGCUGAAAAAUCUAGAAAAGAUUAAGAAUGAACUAGAAAACGAGAGGGCUAAACUUGAGGAAAAGCUCCACAUUGCUGCAAAAAUGGAGGAGAAACUACAGGAAAUGAAGAGUGAACUAAACAAAGAAAAAGAGCAAGUGGAAGAAAUGAAGCAAAUGGUCAGCACAGAGAGACAUUUGAUUGAACAAAAGAAUGCUGAGCUUCAGAAAAAGUCAGAGAUCACCGACAAACUCAUUCAGGAAGCAAACAAUGAGAGAGACAGAUUAACAGACCUCAGUCUAAAACUUCACACACAACGAGAAGAUAUAGAGAAUAUCAUCACAGAAAUAGAGACCAAGAAGAAAGAUCUCAAUAUAAUCAGUGCAGAACUUCAAGAUGAUAAGAAACGACUGAAAAAUGGCAGGGAUGUUUAUGAAAGGGAAAUGACACAUCUGCAGCUUAAGAGGGAAGCGUUAGAGAGAGAAACAGGGGACCUGGAAAGAAAAGCCUUACAACAGAAAGAGCAAGAUGAGAUGGCGAAGCAAGAGAUUCAAAAUCACAAAGAGGCUCUAGAACAAAUUAAGGUGGACAUUCUGAAGGAAAGAGAUGAUGUUGACAAAGAGAAGAAUAAUGUAUAUUCAGAAAAACAGAAACUGGAUACACUUCGAGAAGAACUGCAAAGAAAGGAAAGUGAGCUUGAAAACAAAGUAAAAUCUUUCAUGGAAGAGCAGCAGCAGCUGAAACAGAUUCAAGAUGAAAUGUAUAAAAUCAAGAAGGAGAUUCAAAGUAAUCUGGAAAGAAAGGAGGCUGAAAUUCAAGAGGAGAAACAGCAAUUAAUGGAAAUGGGUGAAACAAUUACAAGAGAACGCAAUGAAUACAGAAAGCUGACUGAAGAAGUACAGAAAGAAAAAGAGUGGCUUGAAAUCAGCAAAACGUUGAUGGAUCAAGAGAAGGCUGAACUUGAAAACAUGAAAAAUUAUCUGGAGAAGCAAUUACAAAAUCUAAGACAUGAGAAACUGAAUGUACAAGAUGAGAAGAAUGCACUAGAACAGAUAAGAGCAGAAUCCAAAGAGAUUCAAAAUGUUAUCAAGAAGGAAAGAAAGGAUCUAGAGAAAUGCUGGCUGGAAAUUGAGGGUGAAAGGCAAAGAGUGGAGGAAGAAAUCAGACAAUUAGAGAGACAGAGGGAAGAAACUAACAAACUUCACAGUGAGUUGCAAAUAAGUAGAUAUGACAUUAAAAGUAAGAAAGAAAAGAUUGAUAAAGAAAUGGAAGAAUUAUUGCAAAUGAGGGUUGACCUGGAGAGAACAAAAGUAGAAAUUGAAAAGGAUAAUCAACGACUUCAAGAAGAUAAAUGUAAUCUUGAAAAGACAAAAGCGGAGAUAAAGAUACAGACAGAUAAAAUGAUAAUAAUAGACACCAACCUAAAAGAGAAAGAAAGAGAAAUUAAAAUCCAACUAGAUAAAGACAGAGAAGAAAUUAAAUGUUUGUCUGAAGAGACUGAAAUGAAAAUGAGGGACCUUGAUAAGACGAUAAAGGAGAUGGAGAGACAAAAGCAAGAAAUUGAUAAAACAAAAGUGAUGCUUGAAAAGGAAAAGACAGAAAUUGACAAAGAAAAGAAAGACUUGGAAAAACAAAUGAUGGACCAGAUUGAGCAGAUACAAAAGGACAGACUGGCACUUGAGGAGAUGAAGAAAGAACUUCUUCGUGAAAAACAAGAAACAGAGGAAGAGAGAAAUAACUUGAUGACUUUAAGAAACAAACUAGAAGCUUUAAGAGCAGAGAUACAGAACAAGCAAAAUGAAAAUGACAUUUGGAAGAAGGAACUUAUUUUGGAAAAAUCAAACAUUGAGGAACGGCAGGUCGAGGUACUCAACCAGCAGCGACAGAAUGAUCAAACCAGUGAGGAAAACAAAAAAGAGAGAGAAGAUCUGGAAAAACAGAGAUUUGAAACUGAACAGCAGAAACAGAUGUUGGAGCUUAACAUCAUAAAAAUGAAUGAAGAGAAGCAAAUACUUCAGAAAGCCAAAGAAGAAAUGGAAAACAUAAAAUACAUGACCAACAAAGAAAGAGACAAGGUUGAACAAAUGCAAGGUGAAAUACACCAUCAGAUUCAGUCCAUUGAACUACAAAAGCAAUGCAUGCAAGACAAGCAGAAUGCUCUUGAUGAAAAAGAGCUAAACAUACAGAGGAAGGAGGGAGUAAUAGAGAAGAGAAACAUAGAAUUACAUGGGAUCGCUGCUCAGCUUCACAUUGAACAGGAACAUUUAGAUAAUGUUCCUGAGGAAACCAAUAAGAUACAGCAUGCCCUUGAAGAGAUGCAGGUUGAUAUAGAACUGCAAAAACAAGAAAUUAAUAAGGACUAUGAGUUGCUUAAGAAGAUACGGCAUGAAAUAGACAAUGAAAAUACAGAAAUGAAGCAGAAAAAAGAUGAUCUGCAGAUCUGGACUAAACAACAGAAAGAUAAGGUUCAAGUCCAUUUAGAAGAGCUAGAGAAAGAAAGAGAAAAACUGGAAAAAAUUAAGAUAAAGCUUCUUACUGAGAGAGAGCAAACUGAAAAAGAGAAAGCUGAUAUAAAUAGGGUAAACGAUGAAAUAGAAUCAAUGAGACAAAGAGUGAUAAUUCAGAAGACUGAGCUGGAGCAGAGAGAGAAAUAUAUUACGGAGCAGCAGCAAAGACUGGAUCAAAUUGUAAGAGAGAUAACGGAAGAAAGAAGGGAAAUGGAUAAGUUGAGGAUUGAACUAGAAGCUCAGAGACAAAGAAUGCAAGAGGACAUGAAGACUUUUGCAAAGCAGGAAAGAGAACUCUCACAACUGAGAGAUGAAAUACAAACAGAAAAACAAGACAUUGGUGAAAACAGGAACACAACUAACAAGUUAAUGAAAGAUCUGGAAAUCACGAAAGCCAAGCUUGUGGAACAACAAGAAGUGAUCCGAACUGAAGCAGAAAAACUCCAAGAGGAAAGAAAACUGGUUGACCAGACAAAAUCUGAGGUGCAGAAUGAUGCUGAAAAUUUGAAAAGCAUCUUAGAAGAGAUCAAAAGGGAGCAAGAAAAUAUGGAGAUAAGGGAGUCCCACCUUAAACAAAUGAUGGAUCAAUGUGCCAAUACCAUGGAAGAAAAUAUGAGGAAUAAGAGUGAACUAGAAAAGACUAUUGAUGACAUAGAAGAGCAAAAUCAACUGAUUAAGACUGAGAAAGACCGUCUGAAAAAAGAGAGAAAUAACACUGAAAAGGAAAAAGAAGAUUUGCAAAGACAAGCUGAUGACCUGGAGACGCACAUGACAGAACAAAAAGAAAAAGAAGAGAUGAGUAAAAGAUCAAUGGAUGAAGAGAAGAAGCUUCUUGAGCACAAGGCUGGUGAAAUCCUGAGACAGAGAAAUGAAUUAGAGAAAGAAAAAGACGACACGACGAAGAAGUGGAAUGAGCUGGAUGUUCUUCAGAAGACAUUACAAAAACAAAGAGAUGAAAUUGAAGAAAUCAAAAAUGACUUAAAGACUGAAAUUAAUCAACAGCAGCAAAGACUGGAGAAGAGUAUAAGAGCUGUGAAUGAGGAGAGGAGAGAUCUGGAGAACAUGAGGAAUGAUUUUGAAAAAUACAGACAACAAAUGGAAGAAGAGAUGAGAGUAAAAACAAAGAUGGAGAGAGAGGAACUUGAUCAACUGAUGGCCAAGAUAUUGACAGAACAAAAAGAAACUGAUAGGAGCAAGGAUAUGAUAGACCAUCUAAAGAAGGAAAUGGAGCAAACAAAAGCCAAACUCAAUGCUCAAGAGGAGCAAAUCAAACUGGAAUUGCAAAUAGUGCAAUAUGAGAGGCAAGAUCUGGAACAGUCCAAGGCUGAAAUCAAGAGACAGACUGAUGAAACCGAGAUCAUGAAAGAGCAGACACACCAGUUAGAAAAAGAGAAAGAUUUGUCUGAAACAUUAAAAGAAGAACGUCAAUCUGGACAGCUUCUUCAACAGAAGAGAGAAGAAAUGGCCUCUCAAGGAAAACAAAUACAGAUAGAUGAAGUCAAUAGACUCUUGUCUGAGAUUCAAAGGGAAAGGGAAGCACUUGAAAGAAACAAAAAAAUCCUUGAACAUCAGAGAGAGGCACUGGACGAGAUGAAGAGAAAACAACCAACACAGAGGCUGCAAUUAAUUUUGGUUAGUUCUGCUACACAAACAUCUAAACUAGAAGACAUACCUGUGGGUGACAUUUCAGCCACUCGGGAACAGAUUGUUGAGGAACACACAGGCAUUCAUAAGGAAUAUACAACUUUCAUAACAAAAGGGACGGAAGAUGAAUUAGAGAGAAUGAGAGAUCAGGAGGACACAGAGCUCAAAAUGAGAAGUGAAGAAACUGAAAUGGACUCAAGCCAAGAAGACAAUGCACUGACAACAGAAUAUAAAGAUAUACCUGAUCCAUCCAUGGCAGUAAAGUUGGAGUUCAAUAAAGAUGAAGCCGAUGGCCUUACUGAAACGUUGAUGACUGAGAAGAGGGAACUAGAAAAGACAAGAUUUGUUUUACAGAGAGACCAGAAAGAGACUGAGACAAUGAGACAACACACUGACAGAGAGAAGAAGAAUCUGGAGAAAUAUAAAGCCGCUCUUGAAAAACAAUAUGAAGAGAUGGAGUUAUGCAGACAGAAUAUGGAAAAUGAAAGAUCUGAGUUAGACAUGACUCAAGAUAAAAUUAAGAUGGACAUGGAAAAAAUUCUAAUGGAGAUCAAGAGCAAGCAGGAGAAAAUAGAAAACAUGGAAGUUCAACUUCAAGAAAAGAAGAGAGAAAUGGAAACCAUCUCUGUUGAGAUGAACCAGAGACAAGAGGAGUUGGACUUCAUAAAUACAGAGAUAAAAAGAAAGAGACAAGAGAUGGUGGACACCAAAGAAAUGGAGGAACAUGAGUUAACUGACAUACUUCCAAAGAGAGAUGAGUCUAUAAAAAGACACCUGGAGGAAAUACAGAACCAAAAGGAGGCAUUACGGAAGGAGAGGGGUGAAGUUGAAAAAAUACUCACUGGGCUGCAGAAGGAGCAAAUGGAAAUGGAGAUGCGUCAGGCAAUGCUGAACUCAGAAAGAAAUGAACUGAAUAGAAUGAGAGUCGAUCUGGAGACACAAAAAGAGGAGUUUAGGCUUAUGCAACAAAACAUAGAGACAGAAAGAGACAAGCUGGAAUCAAGGUUAAGGAGAGCAGAGGACACAGAGAGACUUUUGGAUGAUGUACUGAAAGAAAAGGAAAGGGUAGAAGAAAUGGCAGCUCAACUUGUCAAAGAACAGGAAGAGUUUAAAAUGAUUAUGACUGAGGCAAAUAAAUGGAUAAACAAAAUUAAACAGAUUGAGGUGGAAAUUAAAACAAAGCAAGAAGAAAUGGACCACAUUGAAGAACUGAGACAAAAAGAGCUUCAUCAAAGGAGUGCAGAAUCUGAAAAAAUUAAGACUGAAAUUGACAAUGAAAAAGAAGAAAUUCAGAAGAUACGAAAGGAAUGUGAGAGAGAAAAACAUGAACUGGAGCAAAUAAAAACAGAUUUGCAGAAAGAAGAACCACAGAAAACCAAUGCAGAAGUGCAAUAUGAUGAAGCACACAGUGUUAUGCACACGUUGAAAGAAGAGAAAGAAGAAAUAGAAAGGAUGAAAGCUGACCUCCAGAAUGAGCAGAGAGAAAUUGAAAACCUGAUGGACAUUAUAAAAAGAGAGAAGGGCGAGCUGGAAAAGAAGAAAGUUGAAAUGCAGCAAAUUGCUGCAGAUAUAAGGGACACAGACAGUGAUAAGAACUUACAAGAUGAAAUUAUGCAGAUUGAAGCAAUCCUCAAUGAAACCAAGAGAAAGAAGAAUGACCUGGAACAGAUGAAUGACAAUUUAAACAGGGAAAAAUCAGAACUGAAAAGCACUUGUCAGCUUCUAGUAAAAGAAAAGAGAAAAGCAGAAACUAGAUUACAGGAUAUGGUGAGUGAACUGAAUAUUAAGCUUAAGGAAUUAGAAAAUCUACAGAAGUUCAAAACAGAGGAGAGAGAGGCAGAAAAGAAAAAUCUGGAGAAAUUUAAGGAUGAGAUGGCUAAAGAACAUGAACAAAUUAAAAAGGAAAAUGAAGAUUUAAGAAUGAGAAGAGAUGAGCUGCUGCACAUGAAAGACGAAAUUCAAAAGCAGACAAAAGACCUAGAAGAAAUAAUGAACAAAGUGACAAUGAAGAAGAGUGAGCUAGAACAAGAGAGGCGUGAAAUAAACAAACAAAAACAACAACUGGAAGACAUUGGGAAAGCUGCAGAAAUAAAGUGGGUUGAGACACAGGUAGCCACUGAAAGGUCCAGACAAGAAGACGAGGACAUGCAAAUCUUAAAAACUGAGAGAGAAAGAAUAGCACAUCUGAAUGAUCAAUUACUGAAAGAGAAAGAGGAUGUUGAAACCACCAAAGAGAGAAUUAAUAGAGAGAUGGAACAUAUUGAAAAGAUGCAAAGCCAAUUAAAUGACCAAAGAGAAGAGAUCAAGCUUGAAAAACAAAUAUUAGGAGACAUAAGGACUGAGAUUCAAGACAAGACAAAUGCUCUAGAGAAAAGUAUGCAGGACUUACAAAAAGAGAGGGAAAAUCUAAAUGCUUUAGUUAUUCAACAACAAAAAGAAAGAGAAAAUAUGGAUAAACUAGCAGAAGAAAACAAAAGAAAAGAGAAGCAUGCUGAAGUUGAGAUACAAAGACAGUUAGAGGACAUAGAAAAUCACAAGGUGAGGUUGGCAAAAGAAAGGAAUCAACUUGAACAGAUGAAUGCAGAAAUACAGACUAAACAUAAAGAGCUAGAGAAAAUAAUCAGACAACAGCAAGAGGAGAUUGACAUCAUGCAAAGAGAAAGAAAGGCUUUGGAGAAAAUUAAUGCUGAGCUAGCAAGGAAAACCACUGAAAUGGAAAAUAAGAGAGAGAAAGUAACUCUCUGGGAAGCAGAUAUACAGAAACAGAAAACCAAAGUAGAAGAGCUAAGGAACAUCUUACAAAGAGAGAAAAGUGAACUUGACAAAGAGAAAGCAGAAGUAAAACAAGAAAAACAAGAGAUGGAAAACAUUCUGAAAACCAUCAAGAGUGAGUUGGAAGACCUAGAGCAACUUAGAAAUAAAUCUGAGGAAGAGAAGAAAGACAUGCUGGACAGACUGUUAACAGAAAAACAUGAAACGGAUCAAUUAAAAACCGAGUUACAGUUGGAGAAGAAGAUAAUUGAAGAGGAAAAGAAAAUGCUGAAGCAGUUGAUGAACGAAACUGAAAAUAAAAGAUCUCAACUGGACAGCAACAUUGUGCAAAUGAACAUGGACAAACUAAAUAUUAAAAAAGAAAAAGACUCACUGGAGGAGAUCAAGGCAGAUUUACAAAGAAAGUCUGAAAAGCUUAAUGAGGAAAUCAGGAAAACAGACAAAAUCACCUCUCAAAUCAGUAAAGACCAAGAGAACAUUCAGAGACUGGAAGACAUGAGAAGAAAAGAAGAAGAGCUCAGUACUAUGCGUGCUGACAUUGAAAGGCAGACAAAUCUUCUGCAAUCAGAUCUACUGCUACUUCAGACACAAAAAGAGAACUUAGAAAAGAGCAAAGCAGAGAAUGAGACUCUAAGAGAAGAUUUUGAAGAGCAAAAAGAAAAGAAUGACUUGACAAUGCAAGAACUGCUCAAAGAGAGGCUGGCCUUGGAGCAGAAGAUUAUUGAUAUAACACAGCUAAGAGACACAGUGGAAAGCACACAUAAUGAAAAAAGACUUAAAGAAGAGGAUCUGGAAAACAAAGAAAGAGAACUUGACAUGCAAAGAAAAGAUGUAGAUAACCUAAGAAACAUUUUGAUGGCUGAGAAAAUGCAGCUGGAAAAGAAGCACAAUGUUAUGAAUCAACAGCAGCAGGAGGUUAAUGACUUGAUGAAUGAAAACAGAAAAAUGAGAAAUGAUUUGGAGAGCAUGAAAACUCAUCUGGAACAAGAGAGACGACAACUACAACAAAACAUCAAAACAUUUGAAGAUCAGAAGAAUGUUUCUGAUCAAAUCAAAGUGGAUGCAGAGCAACAGACCGAUGAGCUUGAGAAAAUCACAGCAGAUACAAAGAGGGGAAAGGAACCUCUUGGAAAGGAAAGAGAGGAUACUGAUGCUUUGAAGAAAGAAAUCCAGAGUAAGAAAGAUGAACUGCAAAGCUUAAAUUCUGAGAUUGAAAAUUCCAACCAAGAAAUGGCAGAAAACAGAGAUCAGUUUGAAAAAGAGAUGGAAAAUUUAAAGCAGAAAAGAGCAGAUUUACUGACAGAAACUGAUCAGCGAGCCGAGACCAAAAUAAAGAAGAAAGAUGUAAAAACAGCAGUGGAGAGUGAAAAACAGAUCCAAGCUGCUUUACAAAUGGUCAGGGAGGACACUGAAAAAGAAAAGACAGAUGCUGAAUUGCUGGCUGAUCUCCAGAAACAGAUGGAUGAACUAGAAGAACUGAGGAACACAAUUGAGGUGGGAAAAAAUCUGAUCGAAAAGAAAAAGCUCACAUUAGAUCAUCAGCAGCAGGAAUUAGAAGACAUCAUGACAGUCAUCAAACGAGAGAGAGAUGUGCUUGAGAAAGAGAAGUCUGAAAUUGAUGAACACAGACAUAUCCUCAAUAAAAAUAUGCAGACAAAACAAGAAGAGCUUGAAAAGCUUAAUAAUGAUAUUCAAAGGGACAAAAAGGAGAUUGAAAACAGCAAAAAGAUAACUGAGAGUGAAAAAUAUCGUAUCGAAAAGGAGAGAGCUGAUUUAAACAGACUGAAGAAAGAGGCUGAAGUCAGCAAACAAAGCGUACAACAUGAGAGAACUUUGCUGCAACAAGAUAAAGACAUGAUACAGAAAGAAAAAGAGGACAUGGAAGGCGUUAUAGAUGAAAAGACAAGAACAAUGGAGGAACUGCAAGAGCAAAUAAACAGACAAUUAUCUGAAUUAGAGAUGGUAAACAUGGAGAUUCAAAUAAAGAGACAGGAAGCAGAAAUGCAUCGCUUACCAGAAGAGAUUAAAACAAAAGAUCAUUCAAAGAGGGAUGCUGAUGUUCUAAGAGAGGAAGUAGAAGUACAGAAACAAAAAACAGAUGAACUUGAGAUAUAUCAAAUGAAGACCACCUCAGUCGAUGCUGAAACACAAACAUCUUUGGAUGACUUUAAGAAAACAGAUGAUAGCAGACAGAAGGAAUUAGAAGACGAAACAACGGCAACAAAGAAAAAACAACCCACUGUGACAAAGUCAAAAGACAAGCACGCAUCUGAAGUGCGAGAAAUAACGGACUCUUUAAACAAAGAAAUUGAAGAUUUGGAGAGAAUGAAGACAAUGAUGAAAAAAGAGAGACAUGAACUGGAACAAGCAAAAGCUGACAUCCAAAGGCAGAGGGAAGACUUUGAGAGAAAUAUGAAGGAAGUCAUGAAGCAGAAGUCAAGAAAUGAAGAAAAACUGCUACGACUUACACAAGACAAGGAGGAUUUAUCAAACAACCUUGAUAAGAAAAAUAAGGAAAUAGAGAGCAUCACAGAAACAUUCAUGAGAAAGUUGGGACAACUGGAAAAGACCAUAGCGUCACUGAAAGAAGAGAAGGAAAACAUUGAAAAUGAGUUGCUUCAACAAAAGCAAAAUGAGCAGGAGACACAAAAAAUCAAGGGAAAAACAGAUGAUAUUUCCAUUAGAAGUGACAGGGAUGCUGAGAAAGUCACAUACAAAAAAGCACUGGAACAAGUACAAGAGAUUUAUUGGGCCAAAACAGAUGGAGAAACAGAAGCAAAAACCUCCAAAACUGACGCCCAAAGAGAAGCUCUUCAGCUAAUGGAUGGCGCGACCCUAGAACGAGAUGAGCUAAACAUCCUGAGAGCUGAACUACAGAGGCAACAUGACGAAAUGGAGAACAAAAUGAAGAUCAUACAAACUGGCCUUCUUGAGAUGGAGAAGGCAAAGGAUCACCUGCAUAAAUUGAGGGAUGAAUGUAAAACCGCUGAAGAAGAAAAGUCAGUGAUCAUGGAGAGUCUCGAGAGGAGGAGGAACAGCCUGGAAAAGGUUCAAGCUGAGCUACUGAGACAUACUGAGGAGAUUGAGCAUCUCACACGAAGCUAUGAAUGCAAAAGAAGAGAACUGCAACACAUUGAGACUGACAUACAAAGACAGGCAAGGACUGUGAAGACUCAACAGGAAACUAAUAUUCAGAGUGAACAAGAAGACCAAGAAGUAAUAGCGAUUACAAAAUCCAUUCAAAAACAUACAGAGGAUGUUAAGCAGAAGAGAACUCAAGAGACACAAACUGAAGACCAGGAAAGAGAUGCUCUACCACAGUAUGAAGAGAUACAUGCAAUGAAAAGGAGAAUACAGGACAUGAAAGAUGAACUUAAGAACAGAUUACAAGACAUAAAGAGGAAGGAACUGGAAAGACUCGGAAUCCAAAGACAAAAAAUCGAGUUGGAGCUACGGAAAGCUGAAAUGGAAAGAUAUAAUGAAGCCCUUCAGCAUGAGAGAGAAACUGACAGACUCAAGCUCAUAGAAAAGGAAAAGGAAAUACUUCUGUUAAGGGAGUGUAUGCUGAUUGAGAUCAAUCGACUGAAGAGCGAAGAAACAGAAACAAGUAGUCAGCACUUGGAGAUUAUGGAGCGCCUCAUUAGUGAUGCAGCAGUAAGAGUGGACCGAUUCAGACGGGUUACGGACAGAGCCGUGCAAACGCUGAUGCUGGAAGGAGAUGGAGAGCAGUUUGGAGGAGCUCAAAGAGUGAUGACUGAACAGAUGGAAAGUGUCAGUGGAAGGAUGGAGAUUUCUAUGCAUGUCCUGAGUGAAGACAGGGAGGAAGGAGCGAGAGGAGAAUCCCAGAGAGGGGGCGUAGUCGGGCCAACUUCACGGAGAUUGCGACUAUUGCACUGGAUCAGACGGUGCUGCUGUCGCUGCUGUCCCAGAAACACUGUGGAGGACACCGAGGACAUUUUAUAAACACAGGUCUUGUUCAUUUAGAAGUACAUUUUCAUAUGGAAUUUGACAAAAACUGAGAAGCAUGUCCUAAACAAAUACAAUCCAUGCAUUAUCAGUAUUUUUAUGUAUAUAUUUAUACGUAGCAUUCUUUGGGAGAAAAACCCCCACAACAUUUUAGUAGUGUCUACAAAAACAAACAAAAAAAAAUACUGGAUAACAUAACUAUUUAGUAAUAUAAUUACAGAUUAUUUGCAUAGUACCAAAUGUUUAUCACAGUUUAUAUAAUCCAAUAAAUCAGUUUUGCUUUUUCAAAACUCAACACAGAUGCUUGCAUAAGCCAGAAUGAAUCUUUCAUUAUUACAUGCAGUACAUCUAUGCAAUUAACUCCUUAAAUAACUCAUUAGCAUAAUGUGUGUGGUACAUGUGUGUAUGCAUCUUCUGUUUUCACUAAUGUGUCAGUAAAACACUCUGGGUCAAAUGAUCCUGAAAUUAUCGGUUUUGAUUUCUCAUGACAACUUGAUAUAAUUAUUUUGUGUUUGGGUUCUUACACUUAAUCCUAAAUCUUUCCAGAAGGAACUGAAGUGUUGUGCACUGUUAAUUGGCAACGUUGGAAAUUUCUGCACAGUUAUCUGUGAAAAGCAAAGCUCACCUGUAAUGUUCAAGGGUGUCUACAAAAAC